GGGAGUGGCAGACGGGUGAGUAACGCGUGGGAAUCUACCGUGCCCUGCGGAAUAGCUCUGGGAAACUGGAAUUAAUACCGCAUACGCCCUACGGGGGAAAGAUUUAUCGGGGUAUGAUGAGCCCGCGUUGGAUUAGCUAGUUGGUGGGGUAAUGGCCUACCAAGGCGACGAUCCAUAGCUGGUCUGAGAGGAUGAUCAGCCACAUUGGGACUGAGACACGGCCCAAACUCCUACGGGAGGCAGCAGUGGGGAAUAUUGGACAAUGGGCGCAAGCCUGAUCCAGCCAUGCCGCGUGAGUGAUGAAGGCCUUAGGGUUGUAAAGCUCUUUCACCGGAGAAGAUAAUGACGGUAUCCGGAGAAGAAGCCCCGGCUAACUUCGUGCCAGCAGCCGCGGUAAUACGAAGGGGGCUAGCGUUGUUCGGAAUUACUGGGCGUAAAGCGCACGUAGGCGG
RNAcentral lists this ribosomal RNA (452 nucleotides) under Agrobacterium sp. AGR17(2010). RNAcentral's name for it is "bacterial SSU rRNA". It matches the Rfam family "Bacterial small subunit ribosomal RNA", at positions 91 to 578 of the family's 1533-position model. Lineage: Bacteria; Pseudomonadati; Pseudomonadota; Alphaproteobacteria; Hyphomicrobiales; Rhizobiaceae. The record is from RNAcentral.